CUAUGGUACCAACUCUUUUGCUGUGCCAGCACAGAGGUCUCCAGAGCGACUCUCCUGAAUCAGAUAGCAGGGGCUGUUUGCAGUUUCGUUUCCACGCUUCGCUGACUGGUUAGACAGUGAUCACAGGUUCGGAAGCACGAGCCUCACCACAGCGGAGGAGGCCUCCACUCUGAAGCGGGAUUCCACGCUCCUGCACCCUAAGAUCAGCUAGACUCUCUGCCUUGUUUCAUCUUCUUUCUUUUCCUAAAGAAUCACGGGGAGAACUGACCUCUCUGGGACUCAACCGUGGCUGGAAGGGGACAGGAGAAGCCCUUUCUGGAGGACAGCUGAGCCCUGCAGCUGCCAUCCUGCCUGGCAGGCUAGGGCUGGGCUGCGGGAAGGCCCCCCAGGAGGCUUGGCUGGGCAUGCUCUGUGAAGCCCGAGGUGGCUGGGACUCAUUCUAGUGAUGGACACCAAGUCAGCGGGCUCCUCUCUCCAGUUCCUCGACAUCCCUGGAGGCCCCUCUGCUCCUGCAGCCCUAGCCUUGGAGCUGAUGGUUC
RNAcentral lists this long non-coding RNA (539 nucleotides) under Homo sapiens (human). RNAcentral's name for it is "RTN4RL1 antisense RNA 1". Lineage: Eukaryota; Metazoa; Chordata; Mammalia; Primates; Hominidae. The record is from RNAcentral.